GACGAACGCUGGCGGCGUGCCUAAUACAUGCAAGUCGAACGCAGUGGGGACGGGUGCGUAACACGUGGGUAACCUCCCAUCAGAGGGGAUAACCCUUGGAAACAGGUGCUAAACCGAUACUGAUGGAUGGACUCGCGGGGCAUUAGCCAGUUGGUGGGGUAACGGCUCACCAAGGCCACGAUGCAUAGCCGAGCUGAGAGGGUGAUCGGCCACACUGGGACUGAGAAACGGCCCAGACUCCUACGGGAGGCAGCAGUGGGGAAUAUUCGGCAAUGGACGAAAGUCUGACCGAGCAACGCCGCGUGAGUGAAGAAGGUUUUCGGAUCGUAAAGCACUGUUAUUAGAGAGGCGGUAUCUGACCAGAAAGCCACGGCUAACUACGUGCCAGCAGCCGCGGUAAUUC
RNAcentral lists this ribosomal RNA (403 nucleotides) under uncultured bacterium. RNAcentral describes it as "partial 16S ribosomal RNA". It matches the Rfam family "Bacterial small subunit ribosomal RNA", at positions 28 to 526 of the family's 1533-position model. The record is from RNAcentral.